GAGGGAUGCUGCUGAGGUCACAUUGCUUGCCUGAGCACUGCUGCUCCCAGGACCCCCUGGAGGUUGGGGUGAGGUCUUUGGGAAAGGAGGAGAUGAAGGCAAGACGACGAGUCUGCUGGAGUCGUGCUCCUUGAGGAGGUGUCAUCGGGGUAUUCAGUAACGGAGGACCUGAAGCCAAGGCUUGGUGCACACAUUACUCUAUGAGCUCUCCAAAAUGAAGGGCAACAGCCACACCCAACCCAUAACGAUGACGGACUUUUCUUCAAAGUUUUGCAGUAAUAAUAAUAAUGAAAAAACCUGUCUUGUGAUACAU
Long non-coding RNA from Alligator sinensis (Chinese alligator), 313 nucleotides. RefSeq lists it as uncharacterized. The record is from RefSeq and is a predicted model, not a curated record. NCBI's taxonomy places the organism in Eukaryota, Metazoa, Chordata, Crocodylia, Alligatoridae. The transcript is spliced from 3 exons.